AGAGUUUGAUCAUGGCUCAGGAUGAACGCUAGCGGCAGGCUUAAUACAUGCAAGUCGAGGGGCAUCAAGGUACACGAAAGUGUAUUGUUGGCGACCGGCGGACGGGUGAGUAAUAGGUAGGUAACCUACCUCAUACUGAGGCAUAGCUGGGAGAAAUUCCAGGUAAUUCCUCAUGAGGUUAUAUGACACAUGUGAUAUAAUCAAAGGUAUCGCAAGGUACUGGUAUGAGAUGGGCUUACUGACCAUUAGCUAGUUGGUGAGAUAAGAGCUCACCAAGGCGAAGAUGGUUAGGGGUUUUGAGAGAGAGAUCCCCCACAUUGGAACUGAGAUACGGUCCAGACUCCUACGGGAGGCAGCAGUAGGGAAUAUUGGGCAAUGGGCGGAAGCCUGACCCAGCCAUGCCGCGUGAAGGAGGACGGCCUUAUGGGUUGUAAACUUCUUUACUAUGCGACUAACUAGAUUUACGAGAUAAUUCUAUAGAAUGUAGCAUAGCAAAAAGCACCGGCUAACUCCGUGCCAGCAGCCGCGGUAAUACGGAGGGUGCGAGCGUUAUUCGGAAUUACUGGGUUUAAAGGGUGCGUAGGCGGCUAAGUAAGUUGUCAUUGAAAGGCUACAGCUCAACUGUAGUAGUGGUGGCGAUACUGCUUAGCUAAGAACAUGGGAGGGGUACUUGGAAUGUGUGGUGUAGCGGUGAAAUGCGUAGAUAUCACACAGAACACCAGAGGCGAAGGCGGAGUACUAGACCAUAGUUGACGCUGAGGCACGAAAGCGUGGGGAUCAAACAGGAUUAGAUACCCUGGUAGUCCACGCCCUAAACGAUGAUCACUAGAUAUUGGCGACAAACAGUCAGUGUCCAAGCGAAAGUGAUAAGUGAUCCACCUGGGGACUACGGCCGCAAGGUUAAAACUCAAAGGAAUUGACGG
RNAcentral lists this ribosomal RNA (923 nucleotides) under uncultured bacterium. RNAcentral describes it as "bacterial SSU rRNA". It matches the Rfam family "Bacterial small subunit ribosomal RNA", at positions 8 to 916 of the family's 1533-position model. The record is from RNAcentral.